RNAcentral lists this ribosomal RNA (511 nucleotides) under Agabus elongatus. Its description in RNAcentral is "partial 16S ribosomal RNA". The stretch from base 388 to 511 matches the Rfam family "Bacterial large subunit ribosomal RNA", at positions 2473 to 2597 of the family's 2925-position model. Lineage: Eukaryota; Metazoa; Arthropoda; Insecta; Coleoptera; Dytiscidae. The record is from RNAcentral.
GUCCUUUUGUAUUUAAUUUAAGGUUUAACCUGCCCACUGAAAUUUUUUGAAGGGCCGCAGUAAUUUGACUGUGCAAAGGUAGCAUAAUCAUUAGUUUUUUAAUUGAAAGCUUGUAUGAAGGGUUGGACGAGGUAAAUUCUGUCUCUAUUUAAUUUUAUAUAGAAUUUAAUUUUUAAGUUAAAAAGCUUAAAUUUUUUUAAAAGACGAGAAGACCCUAUAGAUCUUUAUAUUAAAAAUAUUAAUUUUAAUUAAGAAUAUUUAAUUUUUUAGUAUUUAUAAUAUUUUAUUGGGGUAAUAAAAAGAUUAAAAUAAUUCUUUUUUUAUUUUAACAUUUAUUUAUGAUUAUAUGAUCCAAUUUUAUUGAUUAAAAGAUUAAGUUACCUUAGGGAUAACAGCGUAAUUUUUUUAGAGAGUUCAUAUCGAUAAAAAAGUUUGCGACCUCGAUGUUGGAUUAAAAAUUAUCUUAGGUGCAGAAGUUUAAGAUUUUGGUCUGUUCGACCAUUAAAUUUUU